GGUCGUCUAGUGUAAUGGUUUAUCACGUCAGUCUCCGAAGCUGAAGGUUGCGAGUUCGACUCUCGCGAUGAUCG
Molecule: non-coding RNA, 74 nt
Organism: Phellopilus nigrolimitatus
Lineage: Eukaryota; Fungi; Basidiomycota; Agaricomycetes; Hymenochaetales; Hymenochaetaceae
Source: the annotation of a GenBank genome assembly